UACGGAGGGGACUAGCGUUGUUCGGAAUUACUGGGCGUAAAGCGCACGUAGGCGGAUCUGUAAGUCAGGGGUGAAAUCCCGGGGCUCAACCUCGGAACUGCCUUUGAUACUGCAAAUCUCGAGUCCGGAAGAGGUGAGUGGAAUUCCUAGUGUGGAGGUGAAAUUCGUAGAUAUUAGGAAGAACACCAGUGGCGAAGGCGGCUCACUGGUCCGGUACUGACGCUGAGGUGCGAAAGCGUGGGGAGCAAACAGG
RNAcentral lists this ribosomal RNA (253 nucleotides) under uncultured bacterium. RNAcentral describes it as "partial 16S ribosomal RNA". It matches the Rfam family "Bacterial small subunit ribosomal RNA", at positions 524 to 776 of the family's 1533-position model. The record is from RNAcentral.